This 472-nucleotide ribosomal RNA is filed under the name uncultured bacterium. RNAcentral's name for it is "bacterial SSU rRNA". It matches the Rfam family "Bacterial small subunit ribosomal RNA", at positions 917 to 1382 of the family's 1533-position model. The record is from RNAcentral.
GGACCCGCACAAGCGGUGGAGCAUGUGGUUUAAUUCGACGCAACGCGAAGAACCUUACCAGGGCUUGACAUCUUCCGCUAUCCUAGGAAACUAGGAGUUCCGACCUUCGGGUUGGACGGAAAGACAGGUGGUGCAUGGUUGUCGUCAGCUCGUGUCGUGAGAUGUUGGGUUAAGUCCCGCAACGAGCGCAACCCCUACUUUUAGUUGCCAGCAAGUCAAGUUGGGCACUCUAAAGGAACUGCCGAUGACAAAUCGGAGGAAGGUGGGGAUGACGUCAAAUCAUCAUGCCCUUUAUGUCCUGGGCUACACACGUGCUACAAUGGCCGGUACAGAGGGAAGCCAAGGAGCGAUCCGGAGCGAAUCCCAAAAAGCCGGUCUCAGUUCGGAUUGCAGGCUGCAACUCGCCUGCAUGAAGUCGGAAUCGCUAGUAAUCGCGAGUCAGCAUAUCGCGGUGAAUACGUUCCCGGGUCUU